Triticum urartu is the source of this 1557-nucleotide non-coding RNA. The record is from RefSeq and is a predicted model, not a curated record. Lineage: Eukaryota; Viridiplantae; Streptophyta; Magnoliopsida; Poales; Poaceae.
CGCUGAUGAUGUAGCAAGAUUUUGAGAUACUGGGCACCAAUUACAUAGUGGAAGGCUUAAUUGCUCGUGUUUGUAACAGUGGUAUAUAUAUUCCAGUGGUUAACAUCAAUCAUGUCCGACAUAUACCUUACGCCCACCAUAUUCUAUAUCUAUACCAAUAUAAAAAGACCUAAAAGGGCAGAUCCAACAUAUCUCAACCAUCCGAUCAUGUUAAUCCAACAACCCUUAUUGUCCUGAUGUUUAGCGACUAAACAUGUUUAGCACUAAUCAAUCCCGAUGAUCCCCUUCCCUAUGCGUACCUUUCGCACGAAAGGAACCACCCCCGCCGCAUCGCAUCGCCCCAAUCGCGUCGCCACGCCCGCCCCCAACCAUCGCGACCUGACCCGCCGCUCCUUCGCCGCCCAGUCGCUCCUUUGGCGUCCAGCCGCUCCACGCCGCGCCACCAUCGCCUCCUAAACCGGCCGUUGGGGACGCCGUCGUUGGAGCAGUGACGGCGCGCGGCUGCCGCCUUUCCGCCGCCACAGCCUUCCCGCCUGCUGGACGGUAGUGACGCCGUCGCCGCCGCCUGGGGGCCCGGCCAUCCGGGACGCCGCCGCCGCCUUCGAGCGUCUGCCAUCGGUUCGUCGGUUCAGACCUCCCCGCAGCCGCAACCAACAGAUGGAACGUACUCAUUUCGAUGCUUCCCUGUCGUUGUCAGAGAAUCAGGAUCGUUCCGACGUUACGAACAAUUCCACUUUAGAGAAUCUCCACGCUAAAAAACUGUAGGGCGGCAACGGAUAGUAUGCCCGGAUGUCUGAUGACAAGAAGGCGGAAUACCUCUAGAAACGGCGUCAGGCAUGGGCUGAAAAAAGGCUGCAAGUCUUGCUAAUGCCAACUGUCAGCAAGUAUGUCAACAACAUUUUUCAUCAUGUUUGUCUCUACAACGUUAUGAUGCAUGUUCAACAUGUAUAUGACAUGCAAGCUCGAGAAAGAUUUGUGCCCCCAAGUUAUGUAUCUGGACCCUCGAGUGAGAUGAUAGAUGAACCUUCUGAGAGGAAACGAUGACAUAUGCGGGAACAAUAUGCAAACAUGCCAAAGCAUGACAAAGAAGUUGUCUUGUGUAGGAAUCAUGCAUAUAAGAUAGGACGACGGCAUACCACCCCAUUAUCCGAACAAUCUUACAUUGCCGAUGUCGCGGGUGGGUCCAAAUCGCACUCAACAAGUACACCUUCCAUACCGACACAACCAUAUGGAUAUAGCUUCACUGGUAUUUUUCAGUCCCCGUUGUUGUCCAUUUACUAGCACUUUAGGUAUGAAAGAACAUGUUGUGCCCCCAUGUUUGGUUUUGGUAAUUGAUGACAAUCUCUAUGGACUAAUGGUUUCCUUGAGUUAUAUUUGAAGGUUUUGUCCAUAGGCUUUUUUUGGAGUACAUGUGUUGGUUUCAAGAAGAGUUUGUGUCGAUCAAGGUGAUAUUCAAGGAAUUACCUAAAGAUUGGUCUUGUGAGAGGCUGAUCAAGACUAAGUCAAAGAGUGAAUCAAGUUGAUCAACCCACAAAGCGUAGAAGAUGUACCGAGAGG